CCUACGGGUGGCUGCAGUGGGGAAUUUUGCGCAAUGGGCGAAAGCCUGACGCAGCGACGCCGCGUGGGUGACGAAGGCCUUCGGGUCGUAAAGCCCUGUGGGGAGGAACGAACCGGCAUCGGGCUAAUAUCCCGGUGUCUUGACGGUACCUCCUUAGCAAGCACCGGCUAACUCUGUGCCAGCAGCCGCGGUAAGACAGAGGGUGCAAACGUUGCUCGGAAUUACUGGGCGGGUAGGGCGAGUCGGGUGUGAAAGCCCAGGGCUCAACCCUGGAAGUGCAUUCGAAACUGCCAGGCUAGAGUACUGAAGAGGAUCGCGGAAUUCCCGGUGUAGAGGUGAAAUUCGUAGAUAUCGGGAGGAACACCAGUGGCGAAGGCGGCGAUCUGGGCAGAUACUGACACUGAGACGCGAAAGCGUGGGCAGCAAACAGGAUUAGAUACCCCUGUAGUC
Molecule: ribosomal RNA, 450 nt
Filed under: uncultured bacterium
Lineage: Bacteria
Description: partial 16S ribosomal RNA
Rfam family: Bacterial small subunit ribosomal RNA
Source: RNAcentral